CCACAGCUGCACUGGCUUAGGUCCUGGCCUCUCCCCAACUCUGAGGAGGAAAGAGUCCUGCCCUCUGUUAUUCCGAGGCCCACACCCAUUUCUUUUCUUCAGACUUUCAGAAUCAGGAGAUUCCUGGCCAAGAAACAAAAGCAGAAUCAUCCCAUUGCCCAAUGAAUUGGAAUGAAACCAGUUAAUAAAAUCAGGAGUCUGAAAAUUUAGAACAUUGAUUCUAUGAGCAUUUGGAAUCUUAAGUUGGAACAA
Long non-coding RNA from Trichechus manatus latirostris (Florida manatee), 252 nucleotides. RefSeq lists it as uncharacterized. The record is from RefSeq and is a predicted model, not a curated record. Lineage: Eukaryota; Metazoa; Chordata; Mammalia; Sirenia; Trichechidae. The transcript has 3 exons.